GAAAGGGCAAAUUCGACUUUGUACAACACACAAGUAUAAAUAGGAAUUUAAGAACCCAAAACCCUAAAUUCUCUCCUUCCUCUCCCUCUCGGCCGCGUCUUUUCUCUCUCUCUCUCUCCCUCGACCUCUCGCUCACUCUCUUCUUCUUCCCUCUGCCACCACCGGAGACCCUAGCUCCGGUCACCACCUCAUGUCACCGCCACCACCAAUCGAACCUACAUCCAAAUCGGACCCAAGCCCGAGCCUCAGCACCGACAUGCAUCGCCGGCGGCCUCCACACUCGCCAACCCAUGACCACGACGCCACUGUUCCUUGAGCCUCGUCGGUUUCCGACCAUAAUCUCGCCACACCGCCGCUAUUGCUUGGCUUAACAGACAUGGAGGAGGAAAACCCAGAAGUCUAGCCAUCCACCGAAGUCGGACAAGGCUGAAUGAGCGCCGCCGGAAUCUCUCCUUCUGUCGAGAUCGAUUCACCGUUCUCCGGCCUCGCCCGAGCGACACCACCUCCAGAAAUAGGAUCAACGUCGCGUCAAUCGCCAAAGCCCUAGACCCCCGACCUCUAGCUCCGACCUGAGCCGACAUAGCGCCGCUGUGCUCCACGGCCGAACUUCCAGACCUUCUCUACUAGGUAAAUUCGUCACCUUUCUUUGCAUAAAGCCUUUUGGCUGUUACGAAUCAAAGCCCUAACCUGAUUGUUUAAUCUGAGAUGUGAGGUUUUGAGGAGUCUGCGAAUUUGGGAUUUUUGGAGAGGAGAAGCUCCUGUGGUAGUUUUAAUUGAUAUCGACAGAAGGGGAUCCGAAUGGGUUGAUGGUGGUGAAGUGCAGCUAUGUUAAAUCGAGUCUCUGUGGAAAAGAAGUUAUGGACCCGAGCAUGUGCACUAGCAUGUGCACUUGGAUUUGGAUAAAGGAUCGAAAGUCGGGAACGAACCCGAAUGUGGGCAAGCACUCCAAUUCCAGUGUGCAGGUUUCGAGCAUAUGGUCGGGAAGCGUACAGGGGAGGCACAUGACCCGGCUUGGCGCAUUUCUCUUUAGCUUUAUCAAGAGAUGGUUUUGGUCCCUUAUCGGAAUUUGAAGUAACUUACCUAUUUCCUUCUUAUUUAAUUGUCUGUUUUCUACUC
This is a long non-coding RNA of Rosa rugosa (rugosa rose), 1116 nucleotides long. RefSeq lists it as uncharacterized. Lineage: Eukaryota; Viridiplantae; Streptophyta; Magnoliopsida; Rosales; Rosaceae. The record is from RefSeq and is a predicted model, not a curated record. The transcript has 4 exons.